ACGGAGGGUGCAAGCGUUGUUCGGAAUUACUGGGCGUAAAGGGCGCGUAGGUGGCUAAUUAAGUCAGGUGUGAAAUCCUUCCGCUUAACGGGAGAAGUGCACUUGAAACUGCUUAGCUAGAGUACGGGAGAGGAAGGUGGAAUUCCUGGUGUAGAGGUGAAAUUCAUAGAUAUCGGGAAGAACACCGGUGGCGAAGGCGGCCUUCUGGCCCGUUACUGACGCUGAGGCGCGAAAGCGUGGGGAGCAAACAG
Molecule: ribosomal RNA, 251 nt
Filed under: uncultured prokaryote
Description: partial 16S rRNA
Rfam family: Bacterial small subunit ribosomal RNA
Source: RNAcentral